This 572-nucleotide ribosomal RNA is filed under the name uncultured bacterium. Its description in RNAcentral is "bacterial SSU rRNA". It matches the Rfam family "Bacterial small subunit ribosomal RNA", at positions 334 to 920 of the family's 1533-position model. The record is from RNAcentral.
GCUUCCUACGGGAGGCAGCAGUGGGGAAUCUUGCCCAAUGGGCGCAAGCCUGAGGCAGCAACGCCGCGUGCGGGAAGAAGGCCUUCGGGUUGUAAACCGCUUUCAGCAGGAACGAAAAUGACGGUACCUGCAGAAGAAGGUGCGGCCAACUACGUGCCAGCAGCCGCGGUGACACGUAGGCACCAAGCGUUGUCCGGAUUUAUUGGGCGUAAAGAGCUCGUAGGCGGUUCGGUAAGUCGGGUGUGAAAACUUUGGGCUCAACCCAAAGCCUGCAUCCGAUACUGCUGUGACUUGAGUCCGGUAGGGGAGUGGGGAAUUCCUGGUGUAGCGGUGGAAUGCGCAGAUAUCAGGAGGAACACCGGUGGCGAAGGCGCCACUCUGGGCCGGUACUGACGCUGAGGAGCGAAAGCGUGGGGAGCGAACAGGAUUAGAUACCCUGGUAGUCCACGCCGUAAACGUUGGGCACUAGGUGUGGGCUCUUACCAACGGAGUCCGUGCCGUAGCUAACGCAUUAAGUGCCCCGCCUGGGGAGUACGGCCGCAAGGCUAAAACUCAAAGGAAUUGACGGAAGC